UGCUCCCUUUGGCAGCACAUAUACUAAAAUUGGAAUG
Molecule: small nuclear RNA, 37 nt
Filed under: Cervus elaphus hippelaphus
Lineage: Eukaryota; Metazoa; Chordata; Mammalia; Artiodactyla; Cervidae
Source: RNAcentral